Molecule: small nuclear RNA, 187 nt
Organism: Heterocephalus glaber (naked mole-rat)
Lineage: Eukaryota; Metazoa; Chordata; Mammalia; Rodentia; Bathyergidae
Gene: U2
Rfam family: U2 spliceosomal RNA
About the family: U2 is a small nuclear RNA (snRNA) component of the spliceosome (involved in pre-mRNA splicing). Complementary binding between U2 snRNA (in an area lying towards the 5' end but 3' to hairpin I) and the branchpoint sequence (BPS) of the intron results the bulging out of an unpaired adenosine, on the BPS, which initiates a nucleophilic attack at the intronic 5' splice site, thus starting the first of two transesterification reactions that mediate splicing.
Source: Ensembl
AUUGCUUCUUGGUCUUUUGGCUAAGACCAAGAAUAGUAUCUGUUCUUACUAAUUACUAUCUAAUACAUCCUCUAUUCAAGACAAUACAUUAAAUGGAUUUUUGGUGCAGGAAGGUAGAAUAAGAGCUUGCUGUCCACUCCAUACAUUAUCCCAAAAUUGCAGUACCCCCAGGUAAAUUGUACCCUUU